RNAcentral lists this ribosomal RNA (232 nucleotides) under uncultured bacterium. RNAcentral describes it as "partial 16S ribosomal RNA". It matches the Rfam family "Bacterial small subunit ribosomal RNA", at positions 100 to 334 of the family's 1533-position model. The record is from RNAcentral.
CGGGACGGGUGAGUAAUGUCUGGGAAACUGCCUGAUGGAGGGGGAUAACUACUGGAAACGGUAGCUAAUACCGCAUAACGUCGCAAGACCAAAGAGGGGGACCUUCGGGCCUCUUGCCAUCGGAUGUGCCCAGAUGGGAUUAGCUGUAGGUGGGGUAACGGCUCACCUAGGCGACGAUCCCUAGCUGGUCUGAGAGGAUGACCAGCCACACUGGAACUGAGACACGGUCCAG